GGUUCCCUGCGGUGCUCGUGAGGAGAAUCAUCCUCCUGAGCCGAUACCUAUGAGCCCAGGAACCUUGCGCUGACCGUGGAGUGCCUCCUUCCAGGAGGCCAGAUGCGGUUAUUUCAGGGAUCCACCUUUUUAUUGGGGUUCAGAGGGCAUUCAUCCCACGGCACUCGCGGGGGUUCC
Molecule: non-coding RNA, 177 nt
Filed under: Magnetococcales bacterium
Lineage: Bacteria; Pseudomonadati; Pseudomonadota; Magnetococcia; Magnetococcales
Description: 6S RNA
Rfam family: 6S / SsrS RNA
About the family: E. coli 6S RNA was the first non coding RNA to be sequenced, but its function was unknown until recently. It consists of 184 nucleotides that fold into an extended hairpin structure with a large single-stranded internal bulge.
Source: RNAcentral